UGAACAAGAACCAGAAACAUAGAGUGGGCUGCUUUGUCAAUUCUCUUUCCCUGCAUAGAGCGAUAGGACAACAGGAAGAGAAGGAGCUGUGGCAUCAGGAAGAAAGAAAGAUAGGACAUUGGUUGUUCAUCUUAAAGAUUUCCAGACUUGCUUGCUUGCAAAACUUCCACUCCAGAAGAACCCAGCCAUUCUAGCUUCUCUGGUUUGCUCCUAGCCUGUAGCUGGAGAACAACCACAUAACCUGGCAGACUGGUUUUAUUUUCGCUUCAAGUUCUCAACACUCAGAAGAGGCCCUGGACACUCCACAGCAUCUUUGUAUGCUGAAAGGUAGCACUGUGCCUAGCAGUAUGUAUGUAUGAAUGAAAACUUCCUGAACUGGUGAAGGAAUAUAUAUGCACCCAGCCCUGUGAUCAACCAUUCCUGGUUAAGACCCAGAUUUUUUUUUUAAUCCAACAGAAGUCUCUCCUUGGAGAUCCUGUUGGGAAAGAGCUUCUAUCCACUUCCCUUUGGUGCUGUCCCUAUCUAAUCAAGUUUUAUUCAAACAAACUCUUAAAAUUUUUGACAUGCCUCAGUUUACCUUUUAAAAAUGUAAUAACAAUUCUGUAAAAUUUACAUGUGAAUGUAUGUAUAGAAAAAUGCCUAGAAGUAAAAACAGAUAUAUAUUCAUGAA
Long non-coding RNA from Canis lupus familiaris (dog), 670 nucleotides. RefSeq lists it as uncharacterized. The record is from RefSeq and is a predicted model, not a curated record. NCBI's taxonomy places the organism in Eukaryota, Metazoa, Chordata, Mammalia, Carnivora, Canidae. The transcript is spliced from 4 exons.